RNAcentral lists this non-coding RNA (24 nucleotides) under Arabidopsis thaliana (thale cress). The record is from RNAcentral. Lineage: Eukaryota; Viridiplantae; Streptophyta; Magnoliopsida; Brassicales; Brassicaceae.
AGGGACUUGGUGGUCUUGCGGGUC